UCUGGGUUCCCUGACUCAAGUAUUAAUUUUUAAAAUCCUUGCGGUCCCCACUUCUGCACUCAGAGUAACAGAAUGGGGAUUCAGCCUUGACAA
Molecule: non-coding RNA, 93 nt
Organism: Chelonoidis abingdonii (Abingdon island giant tortoise)
Lineage: Eukaryota; Metazoa; Chordata; Testudines; Testudinidae
Source: RefSeq, a predicted model, not a curated record